GACGAACGCUGGCGGCGUGCUUAACACAUGCAAGUCGAACGAUGAUCAGGAGCUUGCUCCUGUGAUUAGUGGCGAACGGGUGAGUAACACGUGAGUAACCUGCCCCUGACUCUGGGAUAAGCGUUGGAAACGACGUCUAAUACUGGAUAUGAUCACUGGCCGCAUGGUCUGGUGGUGGAAAGAUUUUUUGGUUGGGGAUGGACUCGCGGCCUAUCAGCUUGUUAGUGAGGUAAUGGCUCACCAAGGCGACGACGGGUAGCCGGCCUGAGAGGGUGACCGGCCACACUGGGACUGAGACACGGCCCAGACUCCUACGGGAGGCAGCAGUGGGGAAUAUUGCACAAUGGGCGAAAGCCUGAUGCAGCAACGCCGCGUGAGGGAUGACGGCCUUCGGGUUGUAAACCUCUUUUAGUAGGGAAGAAGCGAAAGUGACGGUACCUGCAGAAAAAGCACCGGCUAACUACGUG
RNAcentral lists this ribosomal RNA (467 nucleotides) under uncultured bacterium. RNAcentral's name for it is "partial 16S ribosomal RNA". It matches the Rfam family "Bacterial small subunit ribosomal RNA", at positions 28 to 507 of the family's 1533-position model. The record is from RNAcentral.